This 496-nucleotide ribosomal RNA is filed under the name uncultured bacterium. RNAcentral's name for it is "partial 16S ribosomal RNA". It matches the Rfam family "Bacterial small subunit ribosomal RNA", at positions 28 to 507 of the family's 1533-position model. The record is from RNAcentral.
GAUGAACGCUGGCGGCGUGCCUAAUACAUGCAAGUCGAGCGAACAGACGAGGAGCUUGCUCCUCUGACGUUAGCGGCGGACGGGUGAGUAACACGUGGAUAACCUACCUAUAAGACUGGGAUAACUUCGGGAAACCGGAGCUAAUACCGGAUAAUAUAUUGAACCGCAUGGUUCAAUAGUGAAAGACGGUUUUGCUGUCACUUAUAGAUGGAUCCGCGCCGCAUUAGCUAGUUGGUAAGGUAACGGCUUACCAAGGCAACGAUGCGUAGCCGACCUGAGAGGGUGAUCGGCCACACUGGAACUGAGACACGGUCCAGACUCCUACGGGAGGCAGCAGUAGGGAAUCUUCCGCAAUGGGCGAAAGCUUGACGGAGCAACGCCGCGUGAGUGAUGAAGGUCUUCGGAUCGUAAAACUCUGUAUUAGGGAAGAACAAAUGUGUAAGUAACUAUGCACGUCUUGACGGUACCUAAUCAGAAAGCCACGGCUAACUACGUG